RNAcentral lists this ribosomal RNA (915 nucleotides) under Aspergillus cejpii. Its description in RNAcentral is "LSU rRNA". It matches the Rfam family "Eukaryotic large subunit ribosomal RNA", at positions 14 to 945 of the family's 3401-position model. The record is from RNAcentral. Lineage: Eukaryota; Fungi; Ascomycota; Eurotiomycetes; Eurotiales; Aspergillaceae.
GGUAGGGAUACCCGCUGAACUUAAGCAUAUCAAUAAGCGGAGGAAAAGAAACCAACAGGGAUUGCCCCAGUAACGGCGAGUGAAGCGGCAAGAGCUCAAAUUUGAAAGCUGGCCCCCCCGGGGUCCGCGUUGUAAUUUGCAGAGGAUGCUUCGGAUGCGGCCCCCGUCUAAGUGCCCUGGAAGGGGCCGUCAUAGAGGGUGAGAAUCCCGUCUGGGACGGGGUGUCCGCGUCCGUGUGAAGCUCCUUCGACGAGUCGAGUUGUUUGGGAAUGCAGCUCUAAAUGGGUGGUAAAUUUCAUCUAAAGCUAAAUACUGGCCGGAGACCGAUAGCGCACAAGUAGAGUGAUCGAAAGAUGAAAAGCACUUUGAAAAGAGAGUUAAACAGCACGUGAAAUUGUUGAAAGGGAAGCGUUUGCGACCAGACUCGCCCGCGGGGUUCAGCCGGCACUCGUGCCGGUGUACUUCCCCGCGGGCGGGCCAGCGUCGGUUUGGGCGGCCGGUCAAAGGCCCUCGGAAUGUGUCACCCCCCGGGGUGUCUUAUAGCCGAGGGUGCAAUGCGGCCUGCCCGGACCGAGGAACGCGCUCCGGCUCGGACGCUGGCGUAAUGGUCGCAAAUGACCCGUCUUGAAACACGGACCAAGGAGUCUAACAUCUACGCGAGUGUUCGGGUGUCAAACCCGUACGCGCAGUGAAAGCGAACGGAGGUGGGAGCCCCCCCGGGGGCGCACCAUCGACCGAUCCUGAUGUCUUCGGAUGGAUUUGAGUACGAGCGUAGCUGUGGGGACCCGAAAGAUGGUGAACUAUGCCUGAAUAGGGCGAAGCCAGAGGAAACUCUGGUGGAGGCUCGCAGCGGUUCUGACGUGCAAAUCGAUCGUCGAAUUUGGGUAUAGGGGCGAAAGAUUAAUCGAACCAUCU